This 478-nucleotide ribosomal RNA is filed under the name uncultured bacterium. RNAcentral's name for it is "partial 16S ribosomal RNA". It matches the Rfam family "Bacterial small subunit ribosomal RNA", at positions 28 to 523 of the family's 1533-position model. The record is from RNAcentral.
GACGAACGCUGGCGGCGUGCUUAACACAUGCAAGUCGAACGGUAAGGCCCUUCGGGAUACACGAGUGGCGAACGGGUGGGUAACACGUGGGUGAUCUGCCCUGCACUCCGGGAUAAGCCUGGGAAACUGGGUCUAAUACCGGAUAGGACCACUGCCUGCAUGGGUGGUGGUGGAAAGCUUUUGCGGUGUGGGAUGGGCCCGCGGCCUAUCCGCUUGUUGGUGGGGUGAUGGCCUACCAAGGCGACGACGGGUAGCCGGCCUGAGAGGGUGACCGGCCACACUGGGACUGAGAUACGGCCCAGACUCCUACGGGAGGCAGCAGUGGGGAAUAUUGCACAAUGGGCGCAAGCCUGAUGCAGCGACGCCGCGUGAGGGAUGACGGCCUUCGGGUUGUAAACCUCUUUCAGCACCGACGAAGCGCAAGUGACGGUAGGUGCAGAAGAAGGACCGGCCAACUACGUGCCAGCAGCCGCCGUAA